AAACUUGAGAGUUUGAUUCUGGCUCAGAACGAACGCUGGCGGCAGGCUUAACACAUGCAAGUCGAACGCCCUUCUUCGGAAGGGAGUGGCAGACGGGUGAGUAACGCGUGGGAACCUACCUAUUGGUAAGGAACAACACAGAGAAAUUUGUGCUAAUACCUUAUAAGCCCUGAGGGGGAAAGAUUUAUCGCC
Molecule: ribosomal RNA, 192 nt
Filed under: Paracoccaceae bacterium
Lineage: Bacteria; Pseudomonadati; Pseudomonadota; Alphaproteobacteria; Rhodobacterales; Paracoccaceae
Description: Rhodobacteraceae bacterium partial 16S ribosomal RNA
Rfam family: Bacterial small subunit ribosomal RNA
Source: RNAcentral